RNAcentral lists this ribosomal RNA (253 nucleotides) under uncultured bacterium. RNAcentral's name for it is "partial 16S ribosomal RNA". It matches the Rfam family "Bacterial small subunit ribosomal RNA", at positions 524 to 776 of the family's 1533-position model. The record is from RNAcentral.
UACGUAGGGUGCGAGCGUUAAUCGGAAUUACUGGGCGUAAAGCGUGCGCAGGCGGUUCGUUGUGUCGGCGGGGAAAGCCCCGGGCUCAACCUGGGAAUGGCCGUUGAAACUGGCGAACUGGAGUGUGGCAGAGGGGGGUGGAAUUCCGCGUGUAGCAGUGAAGUGCGUAGAGAUGCGGAGGAACACCGAUGGCGAAGGCAGCCCCCUGGGCUAACACUGACGCUCAGGCACGAAAGCGUGGGGAGCAAACAGG